AGUCGAACGAAGCACUUUAUUUGAUUGCCUUCGGGACUGGUUAUUUUGUGACUGAGUGGCGGACGGGUGAGUAACGCGUGGGUAACCUGCCUUGUACAGGGGGAUAACAGUUGGAAACGGCUGCUAAUACCGCAUAAGCGCACGGCAUCGCAUGAUGCAGUGUGAAAAACUCCGGUGGUAUAAGAUGGACCCGCGUUGGAUUAGCUAGUUGGUGAGGUAACGGCCCACCAAGGCGACGAUCCAUAGCCGACCUGAGAGGGUGACCGGCCACAUUGGGACUGAGACACGGCCCAAACUCCUACGGGAGGCAGCAGUGGGGAAUAUUGCACAAUGGGCGAAAGCCUGAUGCAGCGACGCCGCGUGAGCGAAGAAGUAUUUCGGUAUGUAAAGCUCUAUCAGCAGGGAAGAUAAUGACGGUACCUGACUAAGAAGCACCGGCUAAAUACGUGCCAGCAGCCGCGGUAAUACGUAUGGUGCAAGCGUUAUCCGGAUUUACUGGGUGUAAAGGGAGCGCAGGCGGUGCGGCAAGUCUGAUGUGAAAGCCCGGGGCUCAACCCCGGUACUGCAUUGGAAACUGUC
Molecule: ribosomal RNA, 579 nt
Filed under: uncultured bacterium
Lineage: Bacteria
Description: bacterial SSU rRNA
Rfam family: Bacterial small subunit ribosomal RNA
Source: RNAcentral